UCUCUCUCCCUCAAUCAACAAGACAACAACUAUCUUCUUCCCCUUCAAAUUCACUUGCCACACCCUCAAUUAAUGAUAUAGGUUCCAUCUUCGUCUUCUCCAUCAGCAAAUCUUAGGUCUAAGGUUUUCUCGUUCUCAUAAUUCUCACUCCUCUCAAACCUUAGCUAGGGUUUCAUCUGCAAUUCAAUGUUAAUCACUUAGUUAGGUUGAUAAUUCCUCACUCCUCUCUAUACUCCAUUAUUUAUUAUCUUCUUCAUUCUUUUUGUUGUUAUCUCUUCACAGAUGAAUGGGGUUUCAGUUUCCAGCCACACAAAUUGCUCAACUCUUCACAAAUAAUUAGUGUGUUAUCUCUUCACAGAUAAUUGGGGUUAAUAAUAAGAACAAAUUGUUGAAUCUCUUACAGGUUAUUAUUCUCUCCCCUAACUAUAAUAUUCAAUUCAAUUUAUUGUGUGAAAAUUCUUAAAAAUUUUGUUGAAAAAACAGAUCUGACAGACCUUAUCAGACUGUUUUCUUGUUUUACACUUAGUCCCACAUGAGUUGUGGGAAGUGGGUAAAGAUGUUCAAAUACAAAAUUAUUACACUAAGGGUGUAGCCCUUUGGGUUAUCAAGUUUUCGCGCGAUAGCGCAAGGCUAUACACUUAGUUGUACACCACAACAGACGAUAGUCGUGUCUGUUGUGAACAGGCACGACUUACUCUAUAAAUUGAGUUUUGCUCUGGCCAGGCACACGAUUUAUUCAGACUAAGUCUGCUUCUCUCUCUCUCCAUAGAAAUUCGAAGUGUUCUUCUUGUUUGUUCGCCAGUAUUCUGCUAUUACAGUGCAAUCUAGCAGUUGUAUCUUGGGAGACUAUCGUCCAAUAUCCGUGUGCACCAGUAGCAGGGACGUAAUAUUGUCUUAAGGAUAUUGCUUCGGCAAGCCUUUGUUCAUCUCCUUAAUCAAUCAAGUUGUGUAGUAAGUGUUACUGUAUUCAUGAAUUCAUUUAAUAUAUUAUUAUUUGUUUACGGUUUGAAUUAGUAUAUUCUUUAUUUCUGUAAUUCGUGUAUGUUAUAUUCCUGAGUUCAUACAAUAUAAUCCCAACAAAUUUCAUAUCAUCAUUCCAAAAUCUCAGAUGGCAAAUUUUGUUUCAUUGAAACCCUAGUUUUUCAAAUACUGGAUUAAAUACUUAAAGACAUGUAGGUAUAAAUAUCAUGAAUGAACUAAGUUAUUUUUAAUAUUCAAUUCAGUUUAUUUGUUUUUUUUUUCUUUUGUUAGAUUGUGUACUUGAGUUCUGAUAAUUGGGCUUUCAUUGAUAAUUGGAUCUCACUAAUAAUUCUUUUUUCUUUAAGUUCAAUAAAGUUUAUGUCCUUAGUUAAAUGUUAGAAUGUGAUUGUUUACUGGGAACAAAUUAAUUAUAUAGGCCUAGAAUUGGAAGCCUACUUGUCUUGUAACAGAUUUUUGUCCUAGGCAUCUCUACUUCUAUUUUUGCAAAAUAAAUGCAAGAAGAUGAAUGUGUAUCUUCUACAUGAUGCAUUCAAGAGUACACACUACAGAAACAUGAAAGCAGUGUUGCAGAACACCACGACACUGUUGUGGAAUGACUUGACAAAACUGAACUGUAGGACUCCUGUUUUGUACUGGUGUACGUUGGGGUGAUAUUAGAAUUUGUUUACAAACAUUUUCUAUUUCUUUUCAAGCUCCUGCUACGAUAAAGUUUUAUAUAUUUUUCUCUUUGGAUAAUAGCUUUUGUUAAGUGUGCAUUUCUCUUGCUCCCAUUCGUUCCUGAAUUCUUUUGAACUUCUUGCUGCUCUGUAGGUCACAGUUGGCUCUUUUGUUUGAAUUCCUCAAUUUCUUGGAUAGGUGAUCAAAAAUAGUAACCAGUUUUGCGCCUUUGCUUUGGCGCAUUACUUUCUAAGUAAGAUUUUCUAUGCUAAGUACUAUAGUUUAACAUUUGGACUUAAAUAUUUUUUUUUUUUUGUUCUAGCUUAAAUAGUUAUUUAGAUCUUAUAAUCAGCCAUAUUACAAUUGAUUCUAUAUUUGGCCGUAUUAUUUUGUAUGUUGGGACAGUGGAUUGCUAUCACUUAUUUAUAUUUUUUUAGGAGGCAUAUAGUCUACUUUUUUGGUGUAAUAUGUAAUGCUCAUGGUAAAUAUGAAUGGAUAUUUUUAGUUGGCGCAUAACAACUUAUUAGUUCUUGAAUGAUGUUGGGAGGGAUUUUCUUAAAUUGAAGCUCCACAAGGAGACACUACACCGGAAAUGCUUGAGAGCAGUGGCUCAUGCAUUCUAAAAUCUAAACCAACUGGAAUCGGGAUAUCUGGUAUUCAUAUCUACUCAAUUGAUAAUUUCUUCAAUGAAGUAAAAGUUCAUAAUUUUAUAUUCUGAAUUCAUUACUAGUUUUUGUUUCAUCCAAUUUCAGAUCUUCAGUUUGUGAGAUGCCUUGUAUGCAAUCUUGAGGUUUGUUCAGAUUUACGGGUAGGUUUUACGCUAUUUUUCACUAGUAAUAGACCUACAAGCUUUCCUUCAAUGGAUUUUAAUACAUGAGAAUAAUGCAAGCCAAAAAUCUGACCAUCUAAUUUUCAAAGUUUAAAGUUUUAAAAAUUAAUUAAUCCUUUAGUUUGGUUGAUGUGUUUUUUCACUUGUAUGACAAUGUCUUUACUACAUUUUGCCCAAUAACCAUUAAGUGUUAACUUAUUUUCUAUAGUAAUAUUAUUAUUAACAUUAUUAUUUGCCGGGGAUGGGAUUGUGGUAAUGCUGAUUCUUAAGAUUGUAAUUAGAUGGAUUUGCUUAAAAAUAAAAUGGUUUAUGUUGUUCCACAUGUGGGUUAAAUUAAAAAUGAUUUAUGUUGUUGAACCGUGGUUGAUUCAGAUUUAUUACUAGUAAAAUGGUUUCUAGUAUAAGUAAUUUAUUUUUUUAUUUAUUACAGAUUGUGGAAGGAAGAUCAGCCUCAGUAUGAGAAUGACGAACUGUAAGUUUCUUGCUUUCUAACUGUUCUUUUUGUAAUUGCAUUUUCCAUUUCCAUUAGUGGUUUACCUCUGCCUCUCCUUCUAUGGGAUAGAAACUGAAAUUAGGAAACUGUCUUUUCAGUGCUUGGGUUGACAAUGUGGGGACUGUUACUUUUAUGUGUAUAAAUAUAUAUAGAUAAUGUGGUGACUGGUACUUUUGUAAGGUCUCACUACAGGCCUUGAACAUAAGAACCAUUUAGUUGGAUCGAAGUACUGAUAUUAUAUUUUUGUUUUUGAUCCAGGUAUUAUACUUUCGCUUUUUAUAAACUUUCUUUAUAAUGAGUUGUCAUGAACACUAGCUAUGGAUACUAUCUAUAUAUUCACAUGUUGAGAAACUGUAUGGUUUAGUCAGGGAAAAAAAAAACGGACCCAAUUAAGGUGUGGAAAUAUAAGAUUGGACCAGUUAGGGAACUAAUGGUAAAAUAGGCCCAACCGCUGAUUUCCGUGUCUUAUGGACUAGUUUACCCUUCGACUGAUGCAAAGACUUGUUUGCAUAUCAUAAACAUAUAAACAUACUUAUUUAUAUCAGUCACAAUACAAAUAUAAAAUGCAAAGACUUGUUUGCAUACUUGCAAACAACAACAUAAACCAUAAAAUGUAAAUACAAAGAAUUGUUUGCAUACUCGAAACGACGACAAGAUAAACUAGAAAAUGUAAAGACUUGUUUGCAUCAGUGACAACACAUAAAGAUUAAAUGCAAAAACUUGUUUGCAUACUCGAAACAAUGACAUACCAUAAAAUGCAAACAUUUGUUUGCAUAAACCAGAAGGGUAUUAUCGGUAGUGAAAGGGCCGUUUUUACAAUAUCAACAUUAAAUGGGUCUUUUCUUAUUUUACAAAUACUUAAUGAGGGCCAAUUUUACAAACCGGGCCUUAGUUGGGCCAAUUGUGUUUUAUAGGUGCUUAAUGAGGGCCUAGAACCAUUUCCAUGAUGGUUUAGUUUAUGUGCAAACUGCUUGCUUUUCAAUAUGCUUGGUGUGUUACUUGGAAGAUAAAAGAAUGCAUAUUUGUUAUGAAAAUGUAAAAUGGUUUAUUUUUGCAUCUUUUAACUUCAUAAUUAGGAUUGUUUUCAAACUUGUUAAAUGUGGUAACUGAUUGAGUGAUAUGAUUGCAGGUGCUAAGAAAUAUUGUAAGACUGGAGAUGAGGUUUGACUCUCACUCCACACAUUCAAGGCUUGUGUAGAUUGACGGAGGAGAAUUUUGUCUAAGUUGGGAUGAAGUUUAUAAAUUUAAUGAUUUCUGAAGAGAUUGUAAAAAAUGAAAAAUACAUUACUGUUAGUGGCCAUAUUAUAAUUAUUGAAAAUUUAGGGGUAGAAAACAAAAUAAAAAAAUUAAUUUUUUUCUCGAUUUGCUCGGUUUUGAACCGUGCCUAAAUUUUUGCCACGGGUCAUGUUUUUAUGUAAGUUUCCAAGUGUCAACUAGUUGUUUGAGUUCAGACUUGAAGUUUGGCAUGAUCUUGAUUUUUUUUGGCACA
This 4449-nucleotide long non-coding RNA is filed under the name Aquilegia coerulea. RNAcentral's name for it is "long non-coding RNA (ACOE_LNC001032)". The record is from RNAcentral. Lineage: Eukaryota; Viridiplantae; Streptophyta; Magnoliopsida; Ranunculales; Ranunculaceae.